ACGGUAGAUCAGCCCGCCGCGGUGCCGGGUCGCAGAACGCUUCCAGCGCCGAGGAAAGUCCGGGCUCCGCAGGGCAUGAUGCCGGGUAACACCCGGGCGAGGCGCGUAUAAAUACGCUUCCCGACAGACAGCGCAACAGAAAGCAAACCGCCGGAGCUUGCAGCGCGUUUUCCGCUGGAAGUUGCCGGUAAGGGUGAAAUGGCGCGGUAAGAGCGCGCCGCGGAACCGGCGACGGUUCCGGCAUGGCAAGCCUCAUCAGGAGCAAAGUCAAACAGCGCAUGCAGCCGUCUAUAACGUUGCGUUAUAGGCGGUUGCGCGGAUUGCCCGUCCGUUAAGCGCGGGUAGACUGCUGGAAAUCAUCCGCAAGGGUGAUGCCAGAUAGAUGGCGGUGUAAUACCGGUCCGCCGGUACUAAACAGAACCCGGCUUAUGAUUUACCGUUUUU
Molecule: RNase P RNA, 444 nt
Filed under: Treponema sp.
Lineage: Bacteria; Pseudomonadati; Spirochaetota; Spirochaetia; Treponematales; Treponemataceae
Description: RNase P RNA component class A
Rfam family: Bacterial RNase P class A
About the family: Ribonuclease P (RNase P) is a ubiquitous endoribonuclease, found in archaea, bacteria and eukarya as well as chloroplasts and mitochondria. Its best characterised activity is the generation of mature 5'-ends of tRNAs by cleaving the 5'-leader elements of precursor-tRNAs.
Source: RNAcentral